This is a long non-coding RNA of Ahaetulla prasina, 963 nucleotides long. RefSeq lists it as uncharacterized. The transcript is spliced from 3 exons. Lineage: Eukaryota; Metazoa; Chordata; Lepidosauria; Squamata; Colubridae. The record is from RefSeq and is a predicted model, not a curated record.
UAUCCUAAUAUUUUCUUUUAUUCGUAUCCUUUACGUGUAUUUAUAAUUAUGUUUACAUUUGUAUCUGUCAUAAAAUACACGCUUGAUGAAAUAAAUAAAAUAAAUAAAAAAAACCAAAUCCUUUUGGAAUAAACUGUUUCAAAUAAUGUCAUGUUAGCAACCUUUCUUUUAAAAAAAAAUAAAGCAAACAAAUUUAAAAAUUAUUUAAAAAUAUGUUUAUAGUAUUUAAAAUUAAGACACGAUUAGUGCUAUGUCUUCACAUAGGUGCUGUGGUGGCGCAGUGGUUAGAAUGCAGUACUGCAGGAUACUUCUGCUUACUGCUGGCUGAUUGCAAUUUGGCUGCUUGAAAUCUCACCAGGCUCAAGGUUUACUCAGCCUUCCAUCCUUCCAAGGACUGUGGCCUUGUUGAAAAAUGCCUUCUGAUGAUAGAGUAGAAACAACCUUCUAGACCCCCAAAUCACACUGACUCCUCAAGACUACAAUCAAGCUAAAAAAAAAAAGUGGAAGUGGAACAUUUCAUGUUAUUUAAAGGUUAUUCUCAUUGGCUUUCAGAAAAAUGCAUGCCCUCAGUAUGAAAGGGCAAAUGGAGAAAUUCUGGAUUCCAGGCAUCGAAAAGCACCUAGAAUGUUUGUCUAUUUCUUGUGUUGCAUUGAUACUAAAUGUCCUGGCUUGAUUUCACUGCUACAUCUUCUGGGAGGAUGGAAAAAGCGAUGUAGUGAAGCUUGUUUCUAAACAGGCAUGGACACCUCUUUCAAAUGAUGUCCUUGCUUCUCCUGAAUAGCAGAGGUGGUAUUCAGCCAGUUUAGACCAGUUCAGGUGAACCAGUAGUGCCGAUGAUCAUUUGGCUCCACCCACCCACCCCCACUGUAUCCUGUCCUUUAUUUCCUUCUUUGUAGCUCAUCUCAAUCAAGCGGCACAGCUGAUUUCCCCUCCCCGCCCCUCACUGUUCUACUUACCAUUGCU